GACACCUGUUGAAAGCAACGAUACAAUGGUAUUAUUCAUAUGAUGCUGAAAUUCAAGCCGAAAAAUAAACCUUAUGCCUGUCUCUUCUUCUCUUUGAUAGAUCGAAGCAGUUGACAGCGUGAAUCGAGGUCAAUCUGCUUGAGGAGCACUUCACAUACGGAAUGCCUCUAUCGAUGUUACUGUUUGCCUUUGUCUCUUGGAAAAGCGUGGGCGGACAUCGUCAUAUUUGGAAUUCUAGUUUGGUUCUCUGUCAGUUUCCUUUCCAGAGCUAUCGUUUGCAAAUACGGAUGAACCCUGCGUGCAUUGUUUAUUCAAUGAAAUAACUGGGCGUGAUGAGAAAUCUGUAUGCGAAUGUGCUGAGUUGCUGGCUAUAGAGUAUAUAGGGUGUCUAAAAAGAUGUUAAUUAUUUCUUUAUCACAUUUCCAUUGUACCAAUGUAGAUUAAUUUUGAUCUCUUGACAUUAUUUUUUCUAUCUUAUAGAAAAAUUAGAGAAAGAUAGAGUUUAACUGACAGAAAAAGAUGGUUUAAUCUAUAUCGUCUUUAAUCUAUGUCUUUUUAAUCAUUUGAUGUCCUUGUAUAACUUAUAUAUACAUAGAAUAGAAAAUUCCAGUUACUUUAAUAUUUUUGAUAUUUGUACGUAAAUUCUUAAAAAAUUGAUUGUAAACAAUUCAAGGAUGUAAGAUUGAAUGACAUGAAGCAUUAAAUAAUUUCUUUCAUGA
This is a long non-coding RNA of Pogonomyrmex barbatus (red harvester ant), 719 nucleotides long. RefSeq lists it as uncharacterized. The record is from RefSeq and is a predicted model, not a curated record. Lineage: Eukaryota; Metazoa; Arthropoda; Insecta; Hymenoptera; Formicidae.